GAGGAAUAUUGAUCAAUGGACGGAAGUCUGAACCAGCCAAGUAGCGUGCAGGAUGACGGCCCUAUGGGUUGUAAACUGCUUUUGUAUGGGGAUAAAGUCAAUCACGUGUGAUUGUUUGCAGGUACCAUACGAAUAAGGACCGGCUAAUUCCGUGCCAGCAGCCGCGGUAAUACGGAAGGUCCGGGUGUUAUCCGGAUUUAUUGGGUUUAAAGGGAGCGUAGGCCGGAGAUUAAGUGUGUUGUGAAAUGUAGACGCUCAACGUCUGACUUGCAGCGCAUACUGGUUUCCUUGAGUACGCACAACGUUGGCGGAAUUCGUCGUGUAGCGGUGAAAUGCUUAGAUAUGACGAAGAACUCCGAUUGCGAAGGCAGCUGACGGGAGCGCAACUGACGCUUAAGCUCGAAGGUGCGGGUAUCGAACAGGAUUAGAUACCCUGGUAGUCCGCACAGUAAACGAUGGAUGCCCGCUGUUGGUACCUGGUAUCAGCGGCUAAGCGAAAGCAUUAAGCAUCCCACCUGGGGAGUACGCCGGCAACGGUG
RNAcentral lists this ribosomal RNA (539 nucleotides) under uncultured bacterium. RNAcentral describes it as "bacterial SSU rRNA". It matches the Rfam family "Bacterial small subunit ribosomal RNA", at positions 356 to 896 of the family's 1533-position model. The record is from RNAcentral.